RNAcentral lists this ribosomal RNA (373 nucleotides) under uncultured bacterium. Its description in RNAcentral is "bacterial SSU rRNA". It matches the Rfam family "Bacterial small subunit ribosomal RNA", at positions 523 to 898 of the family's 1533-position model. The record is from RNAcentral.
AUACGUAGGUGGCAAGCGUUGUCCGGAUUUACUGGGCGUAAAGCGCGCGCAGGCGGAUGGUUAAGUAGGAAGUGAAAGGUUGGAGCUCAACUCCAACAUUGCUCCCUAUACUGGCCGUCUUGAGUCCCGGAGAGGAAAGCGGAACGACACGUGGAGCGGUGAAAUGCGUUGAUAUGUGUCGGAACACCAAUGGCGAAGGCAGCUUUCUGGACGGGUACUGACGCUCAGGCGCGAAAGCCGAGGUAGCGAACAGGAUUAGAUACCCUGGUAGUCUCGGCCCUAAACGAUGAUCACUAGGUGUCGGGGGGUUUCCCUCGGUGCCGCAGCUAACGCAUUAAGUGAUCCGCCUGGGGACUACGGCCGCAAGGUUGAA